UACGGGGGGGGCAAGCGUUGUUCGGAAUUACUGGGCGUAAAGGGCCAGUAGGCGGCCAACUAAGUCGGAUGUGAAAUCCCCAGGCUUAACCUGGGAACUGCAUCCGAUACUGGAUGGCUUGAAUUCGGGAGAGGGAUGCAGAAUUCCAGGUGUAGCGGUGAAAUGCGUAGAUAUCUGGAGGAACACCGGUGGCGAAGGCGGCAUCCUGGACCAAUACUGACGCUGAGGAGCGAAAGCCAGGGGAGCAAACGGG
Molecule: ribosomal RNA, 253 nt
Filed under: uncultured bacterium
Lineage: Bacteria
Description: partial 16S ribosomal RNA
Rfam family: Bacterial small subunit ribosomal RNA
Source: RNAcentral